This 1346-nucleotide ribosomal RNA is filed under the name uncultured bacterium. RNAcentral's name for it is "bacterial SSU rRNA". It matches the Rfam family "Bacterial small subunit ribosomal RNA", at positions 28 to 1381 of the family's 1533-position model. The record is from RNAcentral.
GAUGAACGCUGGCGGCGUGCCUAAUACAUGCAAGUCGAACGCUUCACUUCGGUGAAGAGUGGCGAACGGGUGAGUAAUACAUAAGUAACCUGGCAUCUACAGGGGGAUAACUGAUGGAAACGUCAGCUAAGACCGCAUAGGUGUAGAGAUCGCAUGAACUCUAUAUGAAAAGUGCUACGGGACUGGUAGAUGAUGGACUUAUGGCGCAUUAGCUUGUUGGUAGGGUAACGGCCUACCAAGGCGACGAUGCGUAGCCGACCUGAGAGGGUGACCGGCCACACUGGGACUGAGACACGGCCCAGACUCCUACGGGAGGCAGCAGUAGGGAAUUUUCGGCAAUGGGGGAAACCCUGACCGAGCAACGCCGCGUGAAGGAAGAAGUAAUUCGUUAUGUAAACUUCUGUCAUAGAGGAAGAACGGUGGAUAUAGGGAAUGAUAUCCAAGUGACGGUACUCUAUAAGAAAGCCACGGCUAACUACGUGCCAGCAGCCGCGGUAAUACGUAGGUGGCGAGCGUUAUCCGGAAUUAUUGGGCGUAAAGAGGGAGCAGGCGGCACUAAGGGUCUGUGGUGAAAGAUCGAAGCUUAACUUCGGUAAGCCAUGGAAACCGUAGAGCUAGAGUGUGUGAGAGGAUCGUGGAAUUCCAUGUGUAGCGGUGAAAUGCGUAGAUAUAUGGAGGAACACCAGUGGCGAAGGCGACGAUCUGGCGCAUAACUGACGCUCAGUCCCGAAAGCGUGGGGAGCAAAUAGGAUUAGAUACCCUAGUAGUCCACGCCGUAAACGAUGAGUACUAAGUGUUGGGUGUCAAAGCUCAGUGCUGCAGUUAACGCAAUAAGUACUCCGCCUGAGUAGUACGUUCGCAAGAAUGAAACUCAAAGGAAUUGACGGGGGCCCGCACAAGCGGUGGAGCAUGUAGUUUAAUUCGAAGCAACGCGAAGAACCUUACCAGGUCUUGACAUCGAUCUAAAGGCUCCAGAGAUGGAGAGAUAGCUAUAGAGAAGACAGGUGGUGCAUGGUUGUCGUCAGCUCGUGUCGUGAGAUGUUGGGUUAAGUCCCGCAACGAGCGCAACCCCUGUUGCCAGUUGCCAGCAUUAAGCUGGGGACUCUGGCGAGACUGCCGGUGACAAGCCGGAGGAAGGCGGGGAUGACGUCAAAUCAUCAUGCCCCUUAUGACCUGGGCUACACACGUGCUACAAUGGACAGAGCAGAGGGAAGCGAAGCCGCGAGGUGGAGCGAAACCCAUAAAACUGUUCUCAGUUCGGACUGCAGUCUGCAACUCGACUGCACGAAGAUGGAAUCGCUAGUAAUCGCGAAUCAGCAUGUCGCGGUGAAUACGUUCUCGGGCCU